RNAcentral lists this ribosomal RNA (330 nucleotides) under Triticum aestivum (bread wheat). Its description in RNAcentral is "partial small subunit ribosomal RNA". Lineage: Eukaryota; Viridiplantae; Streptophyta; Magnoliopsida; Poales; Poaceae. The record is from RNAcentral.
AUGCAACUUAAUUAUUAUAAAUCCCAUAGGAUCAACGAAAAAAAAACAAAAAAGACGUCAUGGCAACUUGCCAAACGCAACACAAGCUAUAGCCGUGUCCCCUACGUCGGAGGGGGAGAGAUCAUCCAGACACCAACAGAAACCAGGCAGCAAACCUUCGGAAGCUUCCUGGUGCCAUUGUGCGUUAAUGACUCAGGGAAUAAUAUACCUCAAACAUUUCGAAUGGAAAACUUCGCGUCCGGUAAGUUGCACCUCCUGCCAGGCUACAAGGCAUCCAAUUCUGUAAGAAGCAUCCAACUGCACCGUGCCAUCAAUCACUUGCUACAAUAA